GGCUCAAUAGCUCAGCGGUAGAGCAACUCCUUCAUACGGAGAAGGUCAGGUGUUCAAGUCACCUUUGAGCCA
Molecule: transfer RNA, 72 nt
Filed under: compost metagenome
Description: tRNA-Met
Rfam family: tRNA
About the family: Transfer RNA (tRNA) molecules are approximately 80 nucleotides in length. Their secondary structure includes four short double-helical elements and three loops (D, anti-codon, and T loops).
Source: RNAcentral